AGUCAUGAUUACUAUUCCCUUAAAUAGUGAUUGUGAUUAGCGGUGCGGGUAUGUUGGCGCAUAUCCGCAUCGCGU
Molecule: antisense RNA, 75 nt
Filed under: insect gut metagenome
Description: SymR antitoxin
Rfam family: SymR antitoxin
Source: RNAcentral